UGUAGCUAGCCAUUCAUUCAGAUCCUGGUAUUAGGCCAUGGUAUAAAGGUGCCUAGUAGGUCGGACUGUCUUCCUCUCUGUCUCUCGCUCGGUUUGUCCCUGGGUUUCACGCAGGAGCCAAUCGCCAGCUCUGCGUCUCCCUUACUCUGCCGUGGCUGUAUGGAACCUGACCUGUCUAGCAUUAGAUAACUCUCCCCUGCAGCUUAUGACGAUGGCACGGCGUGU
Molecule: long non-coding RNA, 225 nt
Organism: Alosa alosa (allis shad)
Lineage: Eukaryota; Metazoa; Chordata; Actinopteri; Clupeiformes; Clupeidae
Exons: 3
Source: RefSeq, a predicted model, not a curated record